UCCAUAGGUUAAUGAGGCGAACCGGGGGAACUGAAACAUCUAAGUACCCCGAGGAAAAGAAAUCAACCGAGAUUCCCCCAGUAGCGGCGAGCGAACGGGGAGCAGCCCAGAGCCUGAAUCAGUGUGUGUGUUAGUGGAAGCGUCUGGAAAGGCGUGCGAUACAGGGUGACAGCCCCGUACACAAAAAUGCACAUAUUGUGAGCUCGAUGAGUAGGGCGGGACACGUGGUAUCCUGUCUGAAUAUGGGGGGACCAUCCUCCAAGGCUAAAUACUCCUGACUGACCGAUAGUGAACCAGUACCGUGAGGGAAAGGCGAAAAGAACCCCGGCGAGGGGAGUGAAAAAGAACCUGAAACCGUGUACGUACAAGCAGUGGGAGCACGCUUAGGCGUGUGACUGCGUACCUUUUGUAUAAUGGGUCAGCGACUUAUAUUCUGUAGCAAGGUUAACCGAAUAGGGGAGCCGAAGGGAAACCGAGUCUUAACUGGGCGUUAAGUUGCAGGGUAUAGACCCGAAACCCGGUGAUCUAGCCAUGGGCAGGUUGAAGGUUGGGUAACACUAACUGGAGGACCGAACCGACUAAUGUUGAAAAAUUAGCGGAUGACUUGUGGCUGGGGGUGAAAGGCCAAUCAAACCGGGAGAUAGCUGGUUCUCCCCGAAAGCUAUUUAGGUAGCGCCUCGUGAAUUCAUCUCCGGGGGUAGAGCACUGUUUCGGCAAGGGGGUCAUCCCGACUUACCAACCCGAUGCAAACUGCGAAUACCGGAGAAUGUUAUCACGGGAGACACACGGCGGGUGCUAACGUCCGUCGUGAAGAGGGAAACAACCCAGACCGCCAGCUAAGGUCCCAAAGUCAUGGUUAAGUGGGAAACGAUGUGGGAAGGCCCAGACAGCCAGGAUGUUGGCUUAGAAGCAGCCAUCAUUUAAAGAAAGCGUAAUAGCUCACUGGUCGAGUCGGCCUGCGCGGAAGAUGUAACGGGGCUAAACCAUGCACCGAAGCUGCGGCAGCGACGCUGAUGCGUUGUUGGGUAGGGGAGCGUUCUGUAAGCCUGUGAAGGUGUGCUGUGAGGUAUGCUGGAGGUAUCAGAAGUGCGAAUGCUGACAUAAGUAACGAUAAAGCGGGUGAAAAGCCCGCUCGCCGGAAGACCAAGGGUUCCUGUCCAACGUUAAUCGGGGCAGGGUGAGUCGACCCCUAAGGCGAGGCCGAAAGGCGUAGUCGAUGGGAAACAGGUUAAUAUUCCUGUACUUGGUGUUACUGCGAAGGGGGGACGGAGAAGGCUAUGUUGGCCGGGCGACGGUUGUCCCGGUUUAAGCGUGUAGGCUGGUUUUCCAGGCAAAUCCGGAAAACUAAGGCUGAGGCGUGAUGACGAGGCACUACGGUGCUGAAGCAACAAAUGCCCUGCUUCCAGGAAAAGCCUCUAAGCAUCAGGUAACAUCAAAUCGUACCCCAAACCGACACAGGUGGUCAGGUAGAGAAUACCAAGGCGCUUGAGAGAACUCGGGUGAAGGAACUAGGCAAAAUGGUGCCGUAACUUCGGGAGAAGGCACGCUGAUAUGUAGGUGAAGUCCCUCGCGGAUGGAGCUGAAAUCAGUCGAAGAUACCAGCUGGCUGCAACUGUUUAUUAAAAACACAGCACUGUGCAAACACGAAAGUGGACGUAUACGGUGUGACGCCUGCCCGGUGCCGGAAGGUUAAUUGAUGGGGUCAGCGCAAGCGAAGCUCUUGAUCGAAGCCCCGGUAAACGGCGGCCGUAACUAUAACGGUCCUAAGGUAGCGAAAUUCCUUGUCGGGUAAGUUCCGACCUGCA
This 1805-nucleotide ribosomal RNA is filed under the name Shigella flexneri. Its description in RNAcentral is "partial 23S ribosomal RNA". It matches the Rfam family "Bacterial large subunit ribosomal RNA", at positions 163 to 1992 of the family's 2925-position model. The record is from RNAcentral. Lineage: Bacteria; Pseudomonadati; Pseudomonadota; Gammaproteobacteria; Enterobacterales; Enterobacteriaceae.